Mangifera indica (mango) is the source of this 579-nucleotide long non-coding RNA. RefSeq lists it as uncharacterized. NCBI's taxonomy places the organism in Eukaryota, Viridiplantae, Streptophyta, Magnoliopsida, Sapindales, Anacardiaceae. The transcript has 2 exons. The record is from RefSeq and is a predicted model, not a curated record.
AUCAACGCAAAAACAACACGUAUUAUUAACACUAGGGAAAGUACUAUACUACAAAGAAGUUAAAUAUUUAGAUUCAAAGAACAGCAGAAGAUGAGUCGAAGAGGUAACAGUCCAAAGCUUGAGUUGAAGUUGAACUUAUCGGCGCCGCGGCUGACGGUGCAAGCAAACCAGGAAGUUGAAUCCCCAACCGCGUCGGUUUCUUCAUGGGAAAUGUCACCGGAGAGUUCAUGCGUGUCAUCGGAGCCUGAAGAGACAACGAGUACCCCAAUGAAUUACACUAGUAGCCCAGCAGUAACGACUCCAAUGGUGCUGGCGGCCUGCCCUCGAUGCCUAAUGUACGUUAUGUUAUCAGACGUCGAUCGAAAAUGUCCAAGGUGCAAGAGCGCCGCCUUGCUUGACUUUCUUAAUGAAGAAAAUACCAAGAAGACGAACAAUUAAUAAACACUAACUACUUAGGUUCCUCUCUCUUUCUUCUUGUUCAUGGGCAACUAGGACUAUCGUCUCUCUUUUUCAAUGCUAAAUUUGAUGUAUUUUCUUUUACUUCUUAUGUUGGAAUUAUUGGUUAACCUUUUUCUCUAA